RNAcentral lists this ribosomal RNA (477 nucleotides) under uncultured bacterium. RNAcentral's name for it is "partial 16S ribosomal RNA". It matches the Rfam family "Bacterial small subunit ribosomal RNA", at positions 30 to 507 of the family's 1533-position model. The record is from RNAcentral.
AUUGAACGCUGGCGGCAUGCCUUACACAUGCAAGUCGAACGGUAACAGGUUAAGCUGACGAGUGGCGAACGGGGGAGUAAUGUAUCGGAACGUGCCCAGUCGUGGGGGAUAACUGCUCGAAAGAGCAGCUAAUACCGCAUACGACCUGAGGGUGAAAGCGGGGGAUCGCAAGACCUCGCGCGAUUGGAGCAGCCGAUAUCAGAUUAGGUAGUUGGUGAGGUAAAGGCUCACCAAGCCGACGAGCUGUAGCUGGUCUGAGAGGACGACCAGCCACACUGGGACUGAGACACGGCCCAGACUCCUACGGGAGGCAGCAGUGGGGAAUUUUGGACAAUGGGCGCAAGCCUGAUCCAGCCAUGCCGCGUGCGGGAAGAAGGCCUUCGGGUUGUAAACCGCUUUUGUCAGGGAAGAAAAGGUUCUGGCUAAUACCUGGGACUCAUGACGGUACCUGAAGAAUAAGCACCGGCUAACUACGUG